Molecule: ribosomal RNA, 253 nt
Filed under: uncultured bacterium
Lineage: Bacteria
Description: partial 16S ribosomal RNA
Rfam family: Bacterial small subunit ribosomal RNA
Source: RNAcentral
UACGUAGGGGGCUAGCGUUGUCCGGAAUCAUUGGGCGUAAAGCGCGUGUAGGCGGCUCGGUAAGUCCGCUGUGAAAGUCGGGGGCUCAACCCUCGGAUGCCGGUGGAUACUGCCGGGCUAGAGUACGGAAGAGGCGAGUGGAAUUCCUGGUGUAGCGGUGAAAUGCGCAGAUAUCAGGAGGAACACCGGUGGCGAAGGCGGGACCCUGGGCCGAUACUGACGCUGAGGAGCGAAAGCGUGGGGAGCGAACAGG